GACGAAGGAUGCAAGCGUUAUCCGGAUUCAUUGGGUUUAAAGGGCGCGUAGGUGGUCUACUAAGUCAGUGGUGAAAUCUCUCGGCUUAACUGAGAAAUUGCCAUUGAUACUGGUGGACUUGAGUGUAGUUGCCGUUGGCGGAAUAUGACAUGUAGUGGUGAAAUACAUAGAGAUGUCAUAGAACACCGAUUGCGAAGGCAGCUGACGAAACUAUAACUGACACUGAGGCUCGAAAGUGUGGGGAUCAAACAGG
This 253-nucleotide ribosomal RNA is filed under the name uncultured bacterium. Its description in RNAcentral is "partial 16S ribosomal RNA". It matches the Rfam family "Bacterial small subunit ribosomal RNA", at positions 524 to 776 of the family's 1533-position model. The record is from RNAcentral.